Molecule: non-coding RNA, 101 nt
Organism: Neolamprologus brichardi
Lineage: Eukaryota; Metazoa; Chordata; Actinopteri; Cichliformes; Cichlidae
Source: RefSeq, a predicted model, not a curated record
UUAUUGUCAUUGCUGUGAAUCUUUAUCUGAUACACUGACUUGCACUCCUGUUGUUGGACAGAAAGACAUCAACUCAGUGACUUUAGAUAUGACUGCGCGAU